Molecule: ribosomal RNA, 115 nt
Organism: Cricetulus griseus (Chinese hamster)
Lineage: Eukaryota; Metazoa; Chordata; Mammalia; Rodentia; Cricetidae
Source: Ensembl
AUCUAUGGCCAUACCACCUUGAAUACACCUGGAUCUUAGAAGCUAAGCAGGGUUGGCCUUGGUUAGCAGUUGGAUAGGAGACAGAAGAUUGAAUACAAAUACAGUGCCAAAAAAU